RNAcentral lists this ribosomal RNA (515 nucleotides) under uncultured bacterium. Its description in RNAcentral is "partial 16S ribosomal RNA". It matches the Rfam family "Bacterial small subunit ribosomal RNA", at positions 28 to 523 of the family's 1533-position model. The record is from RNAcentral.
GAUGAACGCUGGCGGCGUGCCUAAUACCUGCAAGUCGAGCGAAUGGAUUAAGAGCUUGCUCUUAUGAAGUUAGCGGCGGACGGGUGAGUAACACGUGGGUAACCUGCCCAUAAGACUGGGAUAACUCCGGGAAACCGGGGCUAAUACCGGAUAACAUUUUGAACCGCAGGGUUCGAACUUGAACGGCGGCUUCGGCUGUCACUUAAGGAUGGACCCGGGUCGCAUUAGCAAGUUGGUGAGGUUACGGCUCACCAAGGCAACGAUGCGUAGCCGACCUGAGAGGGUGAUCGGCCACACUGGGACUGAGACACGGCCCAGACUCCUACGGGAGGCAGAAGUAGGGAAUCUUCCGCAAUGGACGAAAGUCUGACGGAGCAACGGCGCGUGAGUGAUGAAGGCUUUCGGGUCGUAAAACUCUGUUGUUAGGGAAGAACAAGUGCUAGUUGAAUAAGCUGGCACCUUGACGGUACCUAACCAGAAAGCCACGGCUAACUACGUGCCAGCAGCCGCAGUAA